This 253-nucleotide ribosomal RNA is filed under the name uncultured bacterium. Its description in RNAcentral is "partial 16S ribosomal RNA". It matches the Rfam family "Bacterial small subunit ribosomal RNA", at positions 524 to 776 of the family's 1533-position model. The record is from RNAcentral.
GACGUAGGGCGCGAGCGUUGUCCGGAUUUAUUGGGCGUAAAGCGUCCGCAGGUGGCGAUUCAAGUCUGCGGUCAAAGACUGGGGCUUAACCCUGGAAAGGCCGUGGAAACUGAAAAGCUAGAGUGCAGUAGGGGUAGAGGGAAUUCCCGGUGUAGCGGUGAAAUGCGUAGAGCUCGGGAAGAACAUCGGUGGCGAAAGCGCUCUGCUGGACUGCAACUGACACUCAGGGACGAAAGCUAGGGGAGCGAAUGGG